RNAcentral lists this unclassified non-coding RNA (2974 nucleotides) under Hevea brasiliensis (rubber tree). Lineage: Eukaryota; Viridiplantae; Streptophyta; Magnoliopsida; Malpighiales; Euphorbiaceae. The record is from RNAcentral.
AAAAAAAAAAAAAAAGAAAAUCUGCAAAUCUGUUUCAAAUAUCAAAAUAAGGGCAUGUUUUCCUCUGGAAUUAAAGACUGCUUGAUAAUGCUGCUGAUAAAAAGCAGCAGUUCAUGAAAAACACUGCAGGAAAAGAUUGAUAAGUAUUUGUCAACGGGUUAGAAAUUUUCAGUCUUAUUUUCGUUUCUUCCCUCAGUAAAUGAAAAAUUACUGCUUGCACUUCAUAGAAAUUAACUGGAAAUUUCUGAUAUUCUUAAAUUGACUGGAAAUAUCUCAAUAAUCUUUCACUGGAAAACUCUUGUUUCUCUGGUGGGGAAUUCAUCAACCAUGUUCAGAUUUAAAAGACCUCUUUCUUGUAUCCUAAUACUUGAAAACUUCUCGUAACAUGUUCAGAACUUCAUUUAUGGGCAGUUGCACAUGACAUAUUUUCAUAAUGCCCCGUCAUCUUUUCUCCAAAAAUUGCACUGCAGCAGAAGCCUGAAGCAAUGGACUCUUUCAGCCUUCCAUUUUCAGUAAUAUCACAGGUUGAGAACAAAUUUAUCAGUUAUGACAGAUUCCCUUUCUUCAAUUUCUCUAUCUCUUUAUUUAAGAAAACUGCCGCUGAUCCGAGCCUAUCCAAAAAAAUCUCAGUUAAUGAUAAAAUAUAAAAAGAUCAAAUACUGCAAUGGCAAAAAGUGUUUAAAGUAUGUUUCUCGUCAUAAUUAUAUCACAUGGUAUGCAACAGUAAUCUUCUGAAUUACAAUACUGGCCAGCUUAGAAUGUGUUAUGGUCAAAUAUUAUACAUCUGUAUUGUUUGAUAUUCAAGCAUCAAAAAGUAUUUCCGAUCAUUAGUACUCAUCUUCAUCUCUUGAUCCAUUGAAUCUUCUGAUCACAGCAGCGACAGCACCAAGAAACAAAAAGAGUGCCAAGGUUUCGAAUCCACCUCCAACAAUGGCAACACUAGGACCUGGUGCAAAGAACGAAAAUGGCGACCAGCCCCAGCCACCAUAGAAUGGCACACCAAAACCAUACCCAUAUCCACCAACUAAAGGUGGGGCAAGUGGUGGGUUGACAUAUAUGUUGGUCCUACAAAAAAAGGGACCAAAUUAGAGCAACACAAUACAUGUCAUCUUACACGGUAAAGUGCUUAAUACAGAAUGGUAAUCCAAACUAAAAUAACAUGAAGAGGAAACCGUAGAAGAGUGCUGCCUCAUUACGUUGAUACAAACAAUAUUAAAACAAGGAAUUGGUUGAAUUCUCUUAAUGCUUUUCCUAGAAAACCAAAACCUCAAAUUUCAAUUCCAUUAAGCAUGAAGAAGAGCAAAAAUUUUGCAGGAUAUCCUAGUUUUACUGCAUCAGUUCAAAUAAGAAACACUAUAUCUAUACUCUGAAGUUUUUCUUUUGCUGAUAAUCUUACUUGGGCAAAGCUGUGAUGAGUAACCAACCAAUGCCCUUGGGAUUUGUACUAACAAGGUUCGACAUGGAUCCAUGAUAUUUUUAAUUACUAUCAAGUUUAUGAUUUAUCUGUUAUUGAGUUUUUCACACAGCAUGAUAGUAAAAUAUAGCAAUAUAUACUUGCAACACAGAUACAUGCCAUAUCUUAUAUGGAAAAGUGCUUAAUAUAAAUGAAAUUUGAUGAUUUAUCCUUAGAUAAGAAACUCCCUUGAAUUUUCCCAAGUUUUUCACAAUAGGGUCCUGGCCCCAUAAUUCCAGCACAGUUGAGCGUGAAACAUUUCUUUGAGUUACCAUGCGCAGAGCUUUACUCUUGCAUUCAUAUUGUGCUUAUCAACACUAAAUAAAAAAGAAACCGGAACUCAUAUGCCAAAGUUGAAUACGGACAAUAAAUUCAAGUGUACUUCCACUCGAGGACCAAAGGCACCUAGCUAGUAAAAACAAAGUAAAGAUUCUAUAAGCAAUACUGCAAUAAUCUUCUGUAUACAGUGAUGUACAAAUCUAAAAUCUCAUUCAAGACCAUCAACAAAGGUAAGCGUUGGAGUUUAUACAUUUGAGUUUAAAGUGAUGUGUUCACAAUUUUGGUAUACUACUACAACUACAAUGAGAUCAUAAUUUUGUUGCCAUAUUUGGUCAGCACAAACAAAUACAGGUUGCAAGGAAACCCAACUCCACCUUUAUGUCGUUUUUAUCAUUGUAUUUGCUGCAGCAAACCAGAAAUUUUCCUAUGCAAAGGAUUUUUUGCCCCUUCCCGUAUUCUCUCCUUGUAGGAUCUAAUACAUUACUACUGACAUCAAAAGUUACAUCUGUUUCUAAAUUUCUAAAUUUAAUAUUUUCUUUAAUAGAUUCGGAAGCUUUCCCACAAGGUAAAUCCUUUCUUUAAUCUGAGAAAUAAUCACACUUAAGCAACUCUAACUACACAUAAAGAACACAAGCUACACAACUAGAACUCAACAGCAAAAAAUAACUCUGCGUCCAAUCAAUAACCGUCACCAAUCAAGACUUCAAAAUGCAUGCAACUGCAUCAAUGGCUAGAAAUGGACAAAGGGUAUCAAUCCAAUCAAAUAUGCAAUAGUGAGCACCCUAAACAUAAGGCUUGAAGAAAAUAAUCAGUAAAAUGAUGCAAUUAAAAACCUGUCUAUAUACCUUGAGUUACUAUUGAUUCUAGGUGAUGACCUAGGAGCAGAUGAUCUGAAAGCCUGACCACCAACUCUACCACCAGAUUUAGCAGCUGAUGCAACACCGACAGACCCAAGUGCAAGCACCCCAGCUGCCAGUGUCACAAUUGCUAGCUUUGCCAAUUCGUUCUCACUCUUUGUCCUGCAAGAAUCAUUAUGAUCAUCUUUAGACAGCCUGCAUGAGAUGGUGGAGAUAGCCAAUCUCGUUUUGGGCUUUUGGAUUAGUGGGGUGAGGGCGUUGGUGAGGAAGCUUUGCUGGGAUGAUGCUAUGGACAUGUUAGAAUUCUUUCCUUAGAGUAAGCUAAAUUAUGUUGCUUUCUGUCUAUGGUUUAUUUGCAGUGCAGAGCAGAGAGUAACAUAAUUUA